GACGAACGCUGGCGGCGUGCUUAACACAUGCAAGUCGAACGGAAAGGCCCUGCUUUUGUGGGGUGCUCGAGUGGCGAACGGGUGAGUAACACGUGAGUAACCUGCCCUUGACUUUGGGAUAACUUCAGGAAACUGGGGCUAAUACCGGAUAGGAGCUCCUGCUGCACGGUGGGGGUUGGAAAGUUUCGGCGGUUGGGGAUGGACUCGCGGCUUAUCAGCUUGUUGGUGGGGUAGUGGCUUACCAAGGCUUUGACGGGUAGCCGGCCUGAGAGGGUGACCGGCCACAUUGGGACUGAGAUACGGCCCAGACUCCUACGGGAGGCAGCAGUGGGGAAUAUUGCACAAUGGGCGGAAGCCUGAUGGAGCAACGCCGGGUGCGGGAUGACGGCCUUCGGGUUGGAAACCGCUUUCGCCUGUGACGAAGCGUGAGUGACGGUAAUGGGUAAAGAAGCACCGGCUAACUACGUG
Molecule: ribosomal RNA, 468 nt
Filed under: uncultured bacterium
Lineage: Bacteria
Description: partial 16S ribosomal RNA
Rfam family: Bacterial small subunit ribosomal RNA
Source: RNAcentral